UACAGAGGGUGCUAGCGUUAAUCGGAUUUACUGGGCGUAAAGCGUGUGUAGGCGGUUAGUUAAGUCGGAUGUGAAAGCCCCGGGCUCAACCUGGGAAUCGCAUUCGAUACUGGCUAGCUAGAGUACGGUAGAGGGUGGCGGAAUUCCGGGAGUAGCGGUGAAAUGCGUAGAUAUCCGGAGGAACACCGAUGGCGAAGGCAACCACCUGGGCCUGUACUGACGCUGAGACACGAAAGCGUGGGGAGCAAACAGG
RNAcentral lists this ribosomal RNA (253 nucleotides) under uncultured bacterium. Its description in RNAcentral is "partial 16S ribosomal RNA". It matches the Rfam family "Bacterial small subunit ribosomal RNA", at positions 524 to 776 of the family's 1533-position model. The record is from RNAcentral.